UGGGGAAUAUUGCACAAUGGGCGAAAGCCUGAUGCAGCGACGCCGCGUGGAGGAUGAAGGCUUUCGGGUCGUAAACUCCUGUCUGGGGGGAUGAAUACUGACAGUACCCCCGGAGGAAGCCCCGGCUAACUACGUGCCAGCAGCCGCGGUAAUACGUAGGGGGCGAGCGUUGUCCGGAAUUACUGGGCGUAAAGGGCGCGCAGGCGGCCUGUUAAGUCAGGUGUUAAAAUGCGGAGCUUAACUCCGCACCGCACUUGAAACUGGCAGGCUUGAGUGCAGGAGAGGAAAGUGGAAUUCCUAGUGUAGCGGUGAAAUGCGUAGAUAUUAGGAGGAACACCAGUGGCGAAGGCGACUUUCUGGACUGCAACUGACGCUGAGCGCGAAAGCUAGGGGAGCGAACAGGAUUAGAUACCCUGGUAGUCCUAGCCGUAAACGAUGGGGUACUAGGGUGUUGGGGGUUGACGAAUCCUCCAGUGACCGCAGUUAACGCACUAAGUACCCCGCC
RNAcentral lists this ribosomal RNA (505 nucleotides) under uncultured Bacillota bacterium. RNAcentral's name for it is "bacterial SSU rRNA". It matches the Rfam family "Bacterial small subunit ribosomal RNA", at positions 355 to 873 of the family's 1533-position model. The record is from RNAcentral. Lineage: Bacteria; Bacillati; Bacillota.